AUUGUCAGACCUGGGGCAGACGUGCAGAGCCGCACGUCCACGCAUCCCGCUUCUACAGGCUGUGCUGCGUGACUCAGGCAAGGACAACUCACCAAGAAGAUCAGGGGGGAAAAAAGAAGCUACAGUGAGAAGCUGACAGUUUCUCAGCAGAAGACCUGCAAUCAGUUCGGAACGAUCUGCAAAAUGUCAGCAAAUAAAGAAGCCCAUCCUCCACCAUCAGCGGGAUUCUCAUCUGGUAUUCAACCACAACAGCUUCUGCUGCAGACCCCCUGCCUGUACUAGAGGAAGACAUCAAUAGUUUCUUUCACCAUCGGAAGACUGUUUCCCCCUCAUGCAUGAGAACCUUUGUUGACACACUGACCCCUAUCUUUACUCAGAUCUUUAACAAGUACCCUCUUGCUUUAAGCAUUCCAUCACCAUCCUGGUCCCCAAGAAACACAUUUCCCCAGGUUUAAGUAAUCACUGGUAUGUCGUCCUCACUUUUGUCAUCAUGAAAUGCUUCAAGUGACUCGACUGGAGAAUUUGUAGGUUAUUGGAUGGCCCCUGCAGUUUGCUUUGUGUGCAAACAUGUUGGCAGAUGAUGCAGUCAGCUUGGGCUGCACUUCAUCCUCCUCCACCUCCACCACCCAGGGAUGUGCAC
This is a long non-coding RNA of Poecilia latipinna (sailfin molly), 640 nucleotides long. RefSeq lists it as uncharacterized. The transcript has 3 exons. NCBI's taxonomy places the organism in Eukaryota, Metazoa, Chordata, Actinopteri, Cyprinodontiformes, Poeciliidae. The record is from RefSeq and is a predicted model, not a curated record.